Molecule: transfer RNA, 71 nt
Filed under: Loxodonta africana (African savanna elephant)
Lineage: Eukaryota; Metazoa; Chordata; Mammalia; Proboscidea; Elephantidae
Rfam family: tRNA
About the family: Transfer RNA (tRNA) molecules are approximately 80 nucleotides in length. Their secondary structure includes four short double-helical elements and three loops (D, anti-codon, and T loops).
Source: Rfam by way of RNAcentral
GCAGUGGUGGUUCUAUGGUAGAAUUCUUGCCUUCUGUGCAGGAGGCCUGGGUUCAAUUCCUAUCCAAUGCA